UGGGAAGCAGGUUAAUAUUCCUGCACCGUCGUAUGAUGCGAUGGGGGGACGGAUCGCGGAAGGUUGUCUGCCUGUUGGAAUAGGCAGUUUCUGGUUCAUAGAAGGCGCUUAGGCAAAUCCGGGCGCGCAAUUCAAGGGACUGGGACGAGGCAUUUAGGUGCUGAAGCAAUCGGAAGUGGUUCCAAGAAAAGCCUCUAAGCUUCAGUCAUACGAGACCGUACCGCAAACCGACACAGGUGGGCGAGAUGAGUAUUC
Molecule: ribosomal RNA, 255 nt
Filed under: Duganella violaceipulchra
Lineage: Bacteria; Pseudomonadati; Pseudomonadota; Betaproteobacteria; Burkholderiales; Oxalobacteraceae
Description: partial 23S ribosomal RNA
Rfam family: Bacterial large subunit ribosomal RNA
Source: RNAcentral